GACGAACGCUGGCGGCGUGCCUAACACAUGCAAGUCGAACGAGAUCCAUGGGAGCUUGCUCCCGGAAGAUCUAGUGGCGAACGGGUGAGUAACACGUGAGAAACCUGCCCUGGAGUGGGGAAUAACUCGGGGAAACUCGAGCUAAUACCGCAUACCCUCGGAUGGUCGCAUGGCCGACCGAGGGAAAAGAUUUAUCGCUCUAGGAGGGUCUCGCGGCCUAUCAGCUAGUGGUGGGUAACGGCCUACCAAGGCAACGACGGGUAGCUGGUUUGAGAGAACGAUCAGCCACACUGGGACUGAGACACGGCCCAGACUCCUAC
RNAcentral lists this ribosomal RNA (320 nucleotides) under uncultured bacterium. RNAcentral describes it as "bacterial SSU rRNA". It matches the Rfam family "Bacterial small subunit ribosomal RNA", at positions 28 to 342 of the family's 1533-position model. The record is from RNAcentral.